GACGAACGCUGGCGGCGUGCUUAACACAUGCAAGUCGAACGGAAAGGUCUCUUUCGGUGGGUACCCGAGUGGUGAACGGGUGAGUACCACGGGAGUAACCUGCCCUUGACACUGGGAUAACUUCAGGAAACUGGGGCUAAUACCGGAUAGGAGCUUCUUCUUCAUGGUGGGGGCUGGAAAGUUUUGGCGGUUGUGGCUGGUUUCGCGGCUUAUCAGCUUUUUGAUGCGGGAGGGGCUUACCAAGGCUUUGGCGGGUAGCCGGCCUAAGAGAGUGACCGGCAGCAUUGGGACUGAGAUGAGGCCCAGACUCAGACGAGGCGGAGUCGGGGGGAAGGUUGCUCAAUGAGUGGCGCUCCGAUGCAGCAACGUCCUGAUCGGGACAACGAUGUUGCUGUUGGAGACCUCGUUCGUUCAUAACGAAGCGUUGAAUGACGGUAGUGUACAAAGAAGCACCGGCUAACUACGUG
RNAcentral lists this ribosomal RNA (467 nucleotides) under uncultured bacterium. RNAcentral's name for it is "partial 16S ribosomal RNA". It matches the Rfam family "Bacterial small subunit ribosomal RNA", at positions 28 to 507 of the family's 1533-position model. The record is from RNAcentral.